RNAcentral lists this ribosomal RNA (445 nucleotides) under uncultured bacterium. RNAcentral describes it as "partial 16S ribosomal RNA". It matches the Rfam family "Bacterial small subunit ribosomal RNA", at positions 354 to 796 of the family's 1533-position model. The record is from RNAcentral.
GUAGGGAAUAUUGGGCAAUGGAUGCAAGUCUGACCCAGCCAUCCCGCGUGCCGGAAGAAGGCCCUCAGGGUUGUAAACGGCUUUUGACGGUGAAGAAUCGACAGGAUGCGUCCUGUUUUGACGGUAGCCGUUGAAUAAGCACCGGCUAACUCCGUGCCAGCAGCCGCGGUAAUACGGAGGGUGCGAGCGUUGUCCGGAUUUAUUGGGUUUAAAGGGUGCGUAGGCUGGAAGGUCCGUCAGCGGUGAAAAGCUGUCGCUUAACGAUAGUCUUGCCGCAGAUACUUCCUUUCUUGGAUGAGGAGGAGGCCACUGGAACGGAUGGUGUAGCGGUGAAAUGCAUAGACAUCAUCCAGAACACCGAUUGCGAAGGCAGGUGGCUGUACCUUAAUCGACGCUGAUGCACGAAAGCAUGGGGAGCAAACAGGAUUAGAUACCCCUGUAGUCC